UAGAGUUUGAUCCUGGCUCAGGAUGAACUCUAGCUAUAGGCUUAACACAUGCAAGUCGAGGGGUAACAUGGGAGAAGCUUGCUUUUCCUGAUGACGACCGGCGCACUGGUGAGUAACGCGUAUCCAACCUGCCCGAGACUAGGGGAUAGUCCCUCGAAAGAGAGCUUAAUACCCUAUGUUGCCGCCUUAGGACAUCCGCAAGCGGCGAAAGAUUUAUCGGUCUCGGAUGGGGAUGCGUCUGAUUAGCUUGUCGGCGGGGUAACGGCCCACCGAGGCGACGAUCAGUAGGGGUUCUGAGAGGAAGGUCCCCCACAUUGGUACUGAGACACGGACCAAACUCCUACGGGAGGCAGCAGUGAGGAAUAUUGGUCAAUGGACGCAAGUCUGAACCAGCCAAGUAGCGUGCAGGAUGACGGCCCUAUGGGUUGUAAACUGCUUUUGCGCGUGAUUAAAACUGUCCACGUGUGGGCAUUUGCAGUUAGCGCGCGAAUAAGGACCGGCUAAUUCCGUGCCAGCAGCCGCGGUAAUACGGAAGGUCCUGGUGUUAUCCGGAUUUAUUGGGUUUAAAGGGAGCGUAGGCGGCUUCUUAAGCGUGUUGUGAAAUGUAGAUGCUCAACAUCUGAAUUGCAGCGCGAACUGGAGUACUUGAGUGCGCAGGAAGUUGGCGGAAUUCGUCGUGUAGCGGUGAAAAUGCUUAGAUAUGACGAAGAACUCCGAUUGCGAAGGCAGCUUGCUGGGCCGCAACUGACGCUGAAGCUCGAAGGUGCGGGUAUCGAACAGGAUUAGAUACCCUGGUAGUCCGCACAGUAAACGAUGGAUACUCGCUGUCGGCGAUACACAGUCGGUGGCCAAGCGAAAGCGUUAAGUAUCCCACCUGGGGAGUACGCCGGCAACGGUGAAACUCAAAGGAAUUGACGGGGGCCCGCACAAGCGGAGGAACAUGUGGUUUAAUUCGAUGAUACGCGAGGAACCUUACCCGGGCUUGAAUUGCUGGUGGCGGUAGCUGGAGACAGCCUCCUUCCUUCGGGACGCCAGUGAAGGUGCUGCAUGGUUGUCGUCAGCUCGUGCCGUAAGGUGUCGGCUUAAGUGCCAUAACGAGCGCAACCCUUGCCGUUAGUUGCCAUCAGGUCAAGCUGGGCACUCUAGCGGGACUGCCAUCGUAAGAUGUGAGGAAGGUGGGGAUGACGUCAAAUCAGCACGGCCCUUAUGUCCGGGGCGACACACGUGUUACAAUGGGGGGUACAGAGGGAAGCCACCUGGCGACAGGGCGCGGAUCCCGAAAUCCCUUCUCAGUUCGGAUCGGAGUCUGGAACUCGACUCCGUGAAGCUGGAUUCGCUAGUAAUCGCGCAUCAGCCAUGGCGCGGUGAAUACGUUCCCGGGCCUUGUACACACCGCCGGUCA
This 1402-nucleotide ribosomal RNA is filed under the name uncultured bacterium. RNAcentral's name for it is "16S ribosomal RNA". It matches the Rfam family "Bacterial small subunit ribosomal RNA". The record is from RNAcentral.